Molecule: ribosomal RNA, 69 nt
Filed under: Lactiplantibacillus pentosus
Lineage: Bacteria; Bacillati; Bacillota; Bacilli; Lactobacillales; Lactobacillaceae
Also listed under: 1 other name
Description: partial 16S ribosomal RNA
Rfam family: Bacterial small subunit ribosomal RNA
Source: RNAcentral
UAAUUUGAGAGUUUGAUCCUGGCUCAGGACGAACGCUGGCGGCGUGCCUAAUACAUGCAAGUCGAACGA